Molecule: ribosomal RNA, 492 nt
Filed under: uncultured bacterium
Lineage: Bacteria
Description: partial 16S ribosomal RNA
Rfam family: Bacterial small subunit ribosomal RNA
Source: RNAcentral
AGUGAACGCUGGCGGUAGGCCUAACACAUGCAAGUCGAACGGCAGCACAGUAAGAGCUUGCUCUUACGGGUGGCGAGUGGCGGACGGGUGAGGAAUACAUCGGAAUCUACUUUUUCGUGGGGGAUAACGUAGGGAAACUUACGCUAAUGCCGCAUACGACCUACGGGUGAAAGCAGGGGAUCUUCGGACCUUGCGCGAUUGAAUGAGCCGAUGUCGGAUUAGCUAGUUGGCGGGGUAGAGGCCCACCAAGGCGACGAUCCGUAGCUGGUCUGAGAGGAUGAUCAGCCACACUGGAACUGAGACGCGGUCCAGACUCCUACGGGAGGCAGCAGUGGGGAAUAUUGGACAAUGGGCGCAAGCCUGAUCCAGCCAUACCGCGUGGGUGAAGAAGGCCUUCGGGUUGUAAAGCCCUUUUGUUGGGAAAGAAAAGCAGCAGGUUAAUACCCCGCUGUUCUGACGGUACCCAAAGAAUAAGCACCGGCUAACUUCGUG